RNAcentral lists this ribosomal RNA (399 nucleotides) under uncultured bacterium. RNAcentral's name for it is "partial 16S ribosomal RNA". It matches the Rfam family "Bacterial small subunit ribosomal RNA", at positions 338 to 795 of the family's 1533-position model. The record is from RNAcentral.
CCUACGGGAGGCAGCAGUGGGGGAUAUUGGACAAUGGGGGGAACCCUGAUCCAGCGACGCCGCGUGAGUGAAGAAGUAUUUCGGUAUGUAAAGCUCUGUCAGCAGGGAAGAAAGAAAUGACGGUACCUGACCAAGAAGCCCCGGCUAACUACGUGCCAGCAGCCGCGGUAAUACGUAGGCGGCUUUGCAAGUCAGAAGUGAAAUCCAUGGGCUUAACCCAUGAACUGCUUUUGAAACUGCAGAGCUUGAGUGGAGUAGAGGUAGGCGGAAUUCCCGGUGUAGCGGGGAAAUGCGUAGAGAUCGGGAGGAACACCAGUGGCGAAGGCGGCCUACUGGGCUCUAACUGACGCUGAGGCACGAAAGCGUGAGUAGCAAACAGGAUUAGAUACCCGUGUAGUC